Non-coding RNA from Gossypium raimondii (Peruvian cotton), 123 nucleotides. The record is from Rfam. Lineage: Eukaryota; Viridiplantae; Streptophyta; Magnoliopsida; Malvales; Malvaceae.
AACAUGAGAAUGACAAAUCGGAUUUUUCUUCCUGAUUUUCAAUUUUUUUCUCCUGAAAAAAUUCAAAUCCAACUAAAUAUGCUAAAAAUCAGGAGAAAAAAUUUGAUUUGUUAUUCUCCUAUU